This 254-nucleotide ribosomal RNA is filed under the name uncultured bacterium. RNAcentral's name for it is "partial 16S ribosomal RNA". It matches the Rfam family "Bacterial small subunit ribosomal RNA", at positions 524 to 776 of the family's 1533-position model. The record is from RNAcentral.
UACGGGGGGAGCAAGCGUUGUUCGGAUUUACUGGGCGUAAAGGGCGCGUAGGCGGCCAGCACAAGUCAGUUGUGAAAUCUCCGAGCUUAACUCGGAACGGUCAACUGAUACUGUGCGGCUAGAGUGCAGAAGGGGCAACUGGAAUUCUUGGUGUAGCGGUGAAAUGCGUAGAGAUCAUGAGGAAGACCAGUGGCGAAGGCGGGUCUCUGGACAGUUCCUGACACUGAGGCACGAAGGCCAGGGGAGCAAACGGG